RNA transcript from Homo sapiens (human), 6409 nucleotides. RefSeq lists it as uncharacterized. Lineage: Eukaryota; Metazoa; Chordata; Mammalia; Primates; Hominidae. The transcript is spliced from 2 exons. The record is from RefSeq and is a predicted model, not a curated record.
CCUCCUGCAUUAGCUUCUGUAAUGGCUGGAAUUUCAGGCAUGAGCCACCAUGCCUGGCCUGGGCUAGUCCCAUAUUCUCUAGAGUUCUCUUUACUCUGUGCUAGCCAAUCUCUCAUUAUGCUGUUCACCUGUUAUAAUGAAUAAUUCUCUGUAUUAAAUUUUACCACUUUAAACUUUUGAGUGGUUUAUGCUUCCUGAUUGGACUCUGACUAAUAUGUUAGGAAGGGUCCCAGGAGGUAGACCCACACAGAUGGGAUUUGGGCAUAGGUUUGGUUUCCCAGGGGGCAGUGCUGAGCUCUUUGCCAGUGGGAAAUGGGAUGCUGGUGAUUUCCAGUAGGUGACCUCACAGUGACUCAAGCUACCACUUACUGUUGAUUGUGACGAAAUGCCAGCUGAGGCACAUGCCUUGGGAGCUAAGUGGUUGCUGCCCUGGACCACUGUGAAGACUGGUGUGGGAAGGGUCGCUUUGGAUGCACUUGAGCAGGGGUCCCCAACCCCUGAGCCAUGGAGCCGCAAGGAGCCACACAGCAGGAGCUCCUACCUCCCGGCAGCCUCUCCAGGCCCAGAACUUUCUCCAGUCAGCCUCUACAGACCAAGCUCAUGACUCACAAUGGCCUAUUUAGGCCCAUACCCUACGUCACGGCAGCCUCCGCAGAUGAGGCUACUGCCUCACAACAGCCUCCACAGGCACAGCUCCAUCGUUACAAUGGCCUCUUUAGACCCAGCUCCUGCCUCCCAGCCUUCUCUCCAGGCCCUGAACUUUCUCAAGUCGACCUCACCAGGCCCAGCUCAUGCAUCUUGGUGGCCCCUCCAGGCCCAGCCUCUGCCUCCCGUCAGCCUCUACAGUCCCAACGUCUGCCUCACAGCAGAUUCUUCACGCCCAGCAUCUACCUCACUGUGGACCCCCCAAGCCAAGCUCCCAACCUUUCAGCAGCUUCUACACACCCAGCUCCUGCCACCCAGUGGCCUCUUUAGGCCAAGCUCAUGCUUCACAAGGGCCUUUCCAGGCCCAACUUUUGUCUCAUGGCAACCUUCCCUGGCCAGAUUCCUGCCUGUCUCCCAGCAGCCUAGACAGGCCCAGGUCUUGCCUCACACUGGCCUCUCUACAUCCAGCUUAUGCCUCACGGUGGCCUCUCCACGCCCAACUCCUGUCCCAGGACGUCAUCUCCGGGCCCAAAACUUACUCAAGUCAGACUCUCUAGUCCCAACUGCUGCCUCCUGGUGGCCUAUGAAGGCCCAAAAUCUCAAGUUGACCUGUCCAGGCCCAGCUCCUGCCUCCUGUCAGCGUCUACAGGCCCAACCUCUGCCUCAUGGGGGCUUUUCCAGGCCCACCUCUUCCUCUUGGCUGGGUCUACAGGCACAACUGCUGCCUCACAACAGCCUUUUUUGGCCCAGUUCCUGUCCAGCUCAUGGCGGCCAAUGUAGGCCCAAAACUUCCUCAAGUCAAACUCUCCAGGCCCACCUUCUGCUUCCCGGUGGCAUCAACAGGCCCAGCUUUGACUUGAGAACAGCCUCUGCAGGCCCUGCUCUUGCCUCCCAGGGGCUUUUUCCAGGCCCAGCUCUUGCCUCGUGGCAGCUGCCCAGGCCAAAUUUCUGCCUGCCUGCCAGCAGCCUCAACAGGCACAGCUCCUCCCUCACAGUGGCCCAUUUAGGCCCAACUCAUGACUGUGAGGCCAUUUCCAGGCCUAGUGCCUGCCUCGUGGCUGACUCUUGAAGCCCAAAACUUCCUCAAAUCAGCCUUUUGCCCAACUUCUGUCUACUGUUGGACUCUACAGGCCAGCCUCUGCCUCACAGUGGACCCUCCAGACUCAGAUGGUGUCUCACUGUGGCAUCCUCAGGCGAAGCUCCUGCCUUUCGGCAGCCUCUCCAGGCCCAGCUCCUCCUGCCUCCCAGUGGCCUCUUUCGGCCCAGCCCAGCUCAUGCCUCCCGGCGGCCUUCCCAAGCCCCGCUUUUGACUUUCGGUGGCCUCUGCAGGCCUCGACAAGGCCCAGCCUCCUGCCUCCCGAAGGCCUGCACAGGCCCAGCCUCUGCCUCACAGCGGACUCUCCACGCCCAGCUAGCUGUUGCCUCACUGCGGCCUCCCGAGUCCAAAGCUCCUGCCUCUCGGCCGCUUCGGCAGGCCCAGCUCCCGCCUGCCAGUGGCCUCUUCAGGCCCAUGGGGCUCAUUCCUGACAACGGCCUUUCCAGGCCCAGUUUUUCCCUUCCGGCGGCCUCUCCGGGCCCAGAACCUCCUCAAGUCGGCCUCUCCAGACCCACUUGCACCCUCCGGGCAUCCUCUCCGGGCCCAGCUCUUCUUCCUGGUUGCGUCUCCAGGCCCGAUUCCUGCUUCUCAACAACCUCUUUGGACUCAGUGCCUACCCAUCUCCUGGCGGCCUUGGUCGGCCCACAGCUUCCUCAAGCCAAGCUCCCCAGGCCCAGGUCAGGCCUCACGGUGGCCUCUCCAGGAUGAGCUCCUGCCCUCCGAUGGCAUCUCCAGGCCCCAAAUGGUCUCCGGUCGGUGGGCUCCUCCACGCCAAGGUUGGGCCUCCCGGCGACCGCCGCAGGCCCAAGUUGUCCUGAAGUCGGGCUCUCCCGGCCCUGCCUCCCAGCAAGUAAGCAAGCUCUUUUGGCUCAACUCCUGCCCAGCUCCCAACCGCCUUUGUAGGCCCCGAACUUUCUCCAGCCAAGCUCUGAGGGCCCACCUCCUGCCUCCUGGUGGCCUGUACAGUUCUAGCACUGGUUAGAGAACAGCCUCUGCAGGCCCCGCCCUUGCCUCCCAGGGGCCUCUCCAGGCCCAGCUCUUGCCCCCACGGCGGCCUCCCGGGGCCAAGUCCCUGCCUGCCUCCCAGCAGCCCGCGUACGGCCCAGCUCCUCCCUCACGAUGGCCUGUUGAUGCCCAACUCAUGCCUCUGGCACCCUGCCCAGAGGCGUGAGCCCCUGUCUCACACUGGCUCCUCCCACGCUGAGAGAGGUCAGUGUGAGCCCUUGCCUCACACCGGCCCCUCCCACGCGGACAGAGGUCAGCGUGAGCCCCUUGCCUCACACCGGCCCCUCCCACGCUGAGAGAGGUCAGUGUGAGCCCUUGCCUCACCCCGGCCCCUCCCACGUGGACAGAGGUCAGCGUGAGCCCCUUGCCUCACACCGGCCCCUCCCACGCUGAGAGAGGUCAGUGUGAGCCCUUGCCUCACACCGGCCCCUCCCACACGGACAGAGGUCAGCGUGAGCCCCUUGCCUCACACCGGCCCCUCCCACGCUGAGAGAGGUCAGUGUGAGCCCUUGCCUCACCCCAGCCCCUCCCACGUGGACAGAGGUCAGCGUGAGCCCCUUGCCUCACACCGGCCCCUCCCACGCUGCGAGAGGUCAGCCUGAGCCCUUGCCUCACACCGGCCCCUCCCACGCUGAGAGAGGUCAGCCUGAGCCCUUGCCUCACACCGGCCCCUCCCACGCUGAGAGAGGUCAGCCUGAGCCCUUGUCUCACACCGGCCCCUCCCACGCUGAGAGAGGUCAGCCCGAGCCCCUCGCCUCACACCGGCCCCUCCCACGCUGAGAGAGGUCAGCCUGAGCCCUUGCCUCACACCGGCCCCUCCCACGCUGAGAGAGGUCAGCCCGAGCCCCUCGCCUCACACUGGCCCCUCCCACGCUGAGAGAGGUCAGCCUGAGCCCUUGUCUCACACCGGCCCCUCCCACGCUGAGAGAGGUCAGCCCGAGCCCCUUGCCUCACACCGGCCCCUCCCACGCUGAGAGAGGUCAGCCUGAGCCCUUGCCUCACACCGGCCCCUCCCACGCUGAGAGAGGUCAGUGUGAGCCCCUUGCCUCACCCCGGCCCCUCCCACGCUGAGAGAGGUCAGUGUGAGCCCCUUGUCUCACACCGGCCCCUCCCACGCUGAGAGAGGUCAGCCUGAGCCCUUGCCUCACACCGGCCCCUCCCACGCUGAGAGAGGUCAGCCCGAGCCCCUCGCCUCACACCGGCCCCUCCCACGCGGACAGAGGUCAGCGUGAGCCCCUUGCCUCACACCGGCCCCUCCCACGCUGAGAGAGGUCAGCCUGAGCCCUUGCCUCACACCGGCCCCUCCCACGCUGAGAGAGGUCAGCCCGAGCCCCUCGCCUCACACCGGCCCCUCCCACGCUGAGAGAGGUCAGUGUGAGCCCUUGCCUCACACCGGCCCCUCCCACGCGGACAGAGGUCAGCGUGAGCCCCUUGCCUCACACCGGCCCCUCCCACGCUGAGAGAGGUCAGCCUGAGCCCUUGCCUCACACCGGCCCCUCCCACGCUGAGAGAGGUCAGCCCGAGCCCCUCGCCUCACACCGGCCCCUCCCACGCGGACAGAGGUCAGCGUGAGCCCCUUGCCUCACACCGGCCCCUCCCACGCUGAGAGAGGUCAGCCUGAGCCCUUGCCUCACACCGGCCCCUCCCACGCUGAGAGAGGUCAGCGUGAGCCCCUUGCCUCACACCGGCCCCUCCCACGCUGAGAGAGGUCAGUGUGAGCCCUUUGCCUCACCCCGGCCCCUCCCACGCUGAGAGAGGUCAGCCCGAGCCCCUCGCCUCACACCGGCCCCUCCCACGCUGAGAGAGGUCAGUGUGAGCCCUUGCCUCACACCGGCCCCUCCCACGCGGACAGAGGUCAGCGUGAGCCCCUUGCCUCACACCGGCCCCUCCCACGCUGAGAGAGGUCAGCCUGAGCCCUUGCCUCACACCGGCCCCUCCCACGCUGAGAGAGGUCAGCCCGAGCCCCUCGCCUCACACCGGCCCCUCCCACGCGGACAGAGGUCAGCGUGAGCCCCUUGCCUCACACCGGCCCCUCCCACGCUGAGAGAGGUCAGCCUGAGCCCUUGCCUCACACCGGCCCCUCCCACGCUGAGAGAGGUCAGCCCGAGCCCCUCGCCUCACACCGGCCCCUCCCACGCGGACAGAGGUCAGCGUGAGCCCCUUGCCUCACACCGGCCCCUCCCACGCUGAGAGAGGUCAGCCUGAGCCCUUGCCUCACACCGGCCCCUCCCACGCUGAGAGAGGUCAGCGUGAGCCCCUUGCCUCACACCGGCCCCUCCCACGCUGAGAGAGGUCAGUGUGAGCCCUUGCCUCACACCGGCCCCUCCCACGCGGACAGAGGUCAGCGUGACCCCCUGCCUCAACAGGCCACCGUGAGGGAGGAACAGGAUCGCACUCGGGCUGCUGGGAGGUAGGCAGGGACUUGGGCCUGGGAGGUCGCGGUGGGGCGAGAGCUGGGCCUGGAGACUCCCCUGGGAGGCAACAGCGGGGUCUGCAGACGCCCUUCUCCAGCCGGAGCUGGGACUGUUCAGUCACUGGGAGAAGGGAUGUGGGUCUGAAGAGCUUGGUUGCAGAAACUUCGGGGUCUACAAACGCAGGCGGGAGCUGAGCCAAAAGAGCUUGUUUGCUGGGAGGUGGGAGAUGCAGCCAGGAGGAACAGCUGGGCAAUGCGGGAGGCAGAGGCCAGGCCUCCUCAAGUUGGCCUCUCAGACCCACUUGCAGCCUCCCGGCGCCCCCUCCGGGCCCAGCUCUUCCUCCCGGCUGCAUCUCCAGGGCGGACUCUGGCCCGACUCCAGGUCCCAACAACGUCUUUGGACUCAGCUCCUGCCCAGCUCCCAGCGGCCCUGGUAGGCCCACAACUUCCCUAAGCCAAGCUCCCCAGGCCCAGCUCAGGCCUCGCGGUGGCCUCUCCAGGCUCAGCUCCUGGCCCUCCGAUGACAUCUGCAGGCCCCAAACGGCCUCCGGUCGGUGGGCUCCUCUAGGCCCAGCUUGGGCCUCCCGGCGGCCUCCGCAGGCCCAAAUCGUCCCGAAGUCAGUCUCUCCAGGCUUAGCUCCAGCCUCCCGGCGGCCUCUGCAGGCCCAAGUCGUCCUCAAGUCGGCCUGGAAGUGGGCCUGGAAGAGCAGCAAGUCGGCCUCCCCGGGCCCAGCUCCGUCCUCUCGGCGGCCUCUCCAGGUGCAAAACUUCCUCGAGUCAGCCUCUCCAGGCCCAGCUCCUCCUGCCUCCCAGUGGCCUCUUUCGGCCCAGCCCAGCUCAUGGCUCUCGGCGGCCUUCCCAGGCCCCGCUUUUGACUUUUGGCAGCCUCUUCAGGCGCAGAACUUGAUCUCCAGGCGGCCUUUGCAGGCCCGGCCUCCUGCCUCUCGAAGGCCUGCACGGGCCCGGCCUCGGCCUCGGCCUCACAGCGGACUCUCCACGCCCAGCUAGCUCUCGCCUCACUGCGGUCUCCCCAGUCCAAAGCUCCUGGCUUUCGGCCACUUCGGCAGGUCCAGCUCCUGCCUGCCAGUGGCCUCUUUAGGCCCAGCUCAUUCCUCACGUCGGCCAUUCCAGGCCCCGUUUUUCCCUUCCGGCAGCCUCUUGGCCUCUAAUUUGUUUAUCUUUUGUGUAUAAAUCCCAAAAUAUUGAAUUUUGGAAUAUUUCCACCAUUAUGUAAAUAUUUUGGUAGGUAA